UCUUCGUGAUUCAGUCACGUGAUAUCAAGAUGGCGUCUGAACCACCCCCAUUUGACGAGGAAACAGAUCAGAAGGACGAAGAUGAUCUAUUUUCUGACGCCAAGGAGCAAAAGUCUGAGCCAUCACCUAGUGAAGAGCCAGCAAGUUUGCCCAUCAAUGAUGAGGAUGCUGGAAUUAAAGAAAAAGAGGAGGAGGACUUGUUUGCUGGAGGUGGAGAUGAGGUGAAGCUGGAUGACUCAGACAAUGAGGAGGAGGAAGUCCCCCCUGUAGCAGCUGCCGUGCCAGAGAAGGAAGCAGCUGAACCCGUUGUCGGUGCCGUCAGCCCCAAACCUGAACCAACCCCUCAGAUCAGUGUUUCCCAGUCCUCUACAGCAUCGUCAAAAUUGUCAGGGACGACAAAGAGCUCUCGAGAUGAGGUGGAUGUUGAUGAUGAGGAUGAAGGCACCAUAGAGAUUCGGGUGAUGGAGCCACAGAAGAUGGGUGAUGGCAUCGGCGCAUACAUGGUGUACCGAGUUGUAACUAAAACCAGCAUUCCAGCAUUCCGCAAUCCAGAGUUGAGUGUUUUGCGGAGGUUCAGUGACUUCCUGGGUCUACAUGCCAGGCUCCAGGAGAAAAAUGUCAAGAUGGGAAUCAUUGUCCCCCCAGCACCAGAGAAAAGCGUCGUUGGUAUGACGAAGAUCAAGAUGUCCAAGGAAGAGUCGGGUUCUUCUGACUUUGUGGAGAGGAGACGAGCAGCACUUGAAAGGUACUUGAAUCGCACAGCUCAGCACCCAGUUCUGAGGAGUGACCCUGACCUCCAGGACUUCCUGGAACGGGACGGGGAGCUGCCAAAGUCGACCAGCACCUCGGCUCUCAGCGGUGCCGGGGUCAUGCGGCUCUUCCACAAGAUGGGGGAUGCUGUUGAGAAAAUUACUUUCAAGAUGGAUGAAACUGAUGAGUCAAUAGGCCUUUAUCUGCAUACUUAUUUUUGCUCAAUCGUCCCUCGCUCCCCAUCGUGUGGCGGCCAGUGGAGCUACCAGAUGGAGUGGUUUGAGGAGAAACAGCAACAGAUUGAGGCCUUGGACCAACAGCUCCGUAAACUCCACUCCAGUGUUGAGGCCCUCUCCAUGCACAGGAAAGAGCUAAGCAUGACAACGGCCGUGUUUGCCAAGAGUGCUGCCAUGUUGGGGAGUGUGGAGGAACACACGGCUCUGUCACGGGCCUUGUCCCAGCUGGCCGAGACGGAGGAGAAGAUCGAGCAGCUGCACAGAGAACAGGCAGAGCAUGACUUCUUCACCAUGGCUGAACUCAUGAAGGACUACAUCUCCCUCAUAGGAGCAGUCAAGGAGGUGUUUCAUGAGCGCUACAAGCUGUACAAGAACUGGAAGGAUGCUGAGGUGGUCCUGGGGAAGAAACGCGAGAAUAAGGCUAAACUGGAGGUGCAACACAAGACAGACAAGAUCUCACAGGCACAGCAGGAGAUCACAGAGUAUGAACAAAAGGUAGAGAAAGGCCAAGAGGAUUUUGAGAAGAUCUCUGACACAAUAAGGAAAGAGAUUCGCCGCUUUGAAAAGUAUCGGGUCAUAGACUUCAAGAACAGUGUAGUGAAAUACUUGGAAGCUCUGAUGGAGAACCAACAGAAGAUGAUAAAGUUCUGGGAAACAUUCCUGCCGGAGGCCAAAGCUAUUGCAUGAUACCCCCGGUGUUCGGAGACUGUACAGUGGACAUCUACUACAAUAAUCAAUAUUUAAUUUACAUUGUCCUUAAGUCAUCAAGCUUGUUUUCAAGCUAGUCAGUGAGUCUGGUUUUGUACUGCAUAACAACUUGAUCCCAGGAGCUCUGCUGGAGUCCGUCACUGACCCUGGAGUGCUUGCUGGCAGUCUGUCUUACUGACUCAGUGUCCUCCACAAUAUAUAUUGUACCAGCGAAGAGGCCCCACAAAUAGUACCAUCAACUACAACAUUGUCCCAUGGUUGGGAUUCCUGUUUCAAAUCUGUUCACAGAUUUGUUAAGAUUUACAAGUUUUCUUUAUGCUGUCCAUUUCAAGGUGUAGAUUGUCAACAUUUGAACUGAAAUCUUAUGGACCUUUUGGAUACAAGUUGCUGGACAUACAUUUGCCUUAUUUAGUUCCUAGACUAUGCCGAAGGUUUAAUGAUGCAGUCAUUCUUCUGUCUGAUCAAUAAGUACAAAUAUGUGAUAUUUUAUAUUCUUCAUAACAUUCAGUUUAUGUUUCUGAUUGAUAGUGAAAUAUUAAACAAGGUGAACACUCUUGAAAUGAACCAACUUCUCACUGGUAGCAACAGGAUUAGCUUUUCUCUGCGGGCAAAUAAUUCUACACCUGCUUCAUUUAGUUUCACAGGAAUGUAGCAACAUGUGUGUUAAUGUCAUAAUAGAGCACGGCAAGACCUGAAUCCCUCCUUGCUUGUGUUGUCUCCCUGUCUCCAUGAUUAGCAGGGUCUUGUCAGAUACAGUCUUACUUCUGGCGGCAUUGUGUCGGACUAUUCUACUGUUAAUCCACAUGAUUGUAUGUUAUUGUAGACCUGCACUGGUAGCAGAAAUGGCUUCAUAAUAUACCAUAUAUAAAUGUCCUCACUAGUUCACAGGUUUGUAUAUACUGAAUUCCACCAUGCCCCAUGGGUGGAUGACUUCCAAAUGUAGGGACAACAUCCCACGGUGGUGACAUGUAUGCACUGGUGAUGGUGGCCGUUGUGUGUACAGACUGUGAAGUAUUGCCGAUGUACACAGGAGACAGGAAGCUAGGCAGGCAGGCAGGAGGGUUCAUGCUGCACCUUCUUUACAUAUCCCUGUAACAACACUGUUCAUAGUCUCACUCCCAUCUUCCCGAGGCAAGAGGGUUAACUGACUUUAAAAGUCCAGUUUCCACCCUUGCCGAACAAGGCUUAAAUUCCUUGGCUUGAUCUUAGUGCCACAAGUGGCUAUUACGAGGUUAUGUCCCUUCUAUGCCUUUCCUAUGGACCAAUCAGAUUCCAUAUACUCUCAUAUCAUUUGCAUCAGCUUCAAACAAAAUGGCAGCCCCCAGCCAAGAGGAUCUGAUCGAUACUCAAGAUCUAUUUUGUGAUAAGACAGGUCUUACAUCGCGAAGUGCCUCAAAUCACGUGAGCACCUUGAUUGAAAACAUGAAAAGAUUUGGAAAAUAUCUCUUGACAACGAAUUGGCAGUGCACAUGUUUUGCUAAUCCUACAAUUGACCAAAAUCUGCAUGACAGUUUACGAACUGGAUUUUGAUUUCAAUGUGCGAUUUUGAUUGGACUAUGCAUAGACUUGUUAGUCCAGCCAAAUUCUAACUCCAUAAUACCAGCCUUGUUUGACAAGGGUCGAAAAUUGACUUUUAUAGUCAGUUAACUCCCUUGCCUCGGGAAGAUGUCUCACUCCUUGCACAUCCACAACAACCAAACAAUGAUUGAGAUGCCCAGUGUCCAUGAUGUGCACAGAUUACUGUGGGAUGUAGCUCUGCACGGGAGAGUCCAGGGAAGGCGGGCCUAUCACAACUAACAUGUAAACCAUCAUGAGGUUGUGUUCACGUCAUGAUAUAGGUACUGUGACGUGUCAACCAUCGUGGGUUUCACCGAAGUGGUAAACGUCUUAGACCUGCAUCACUUCGGGCUUUCCUCCUACAUUAAGCCGUGAUAUAACUGGAAUAAAGUUAAAAGCGGAGUUAAAACCCAAGUCACUCACGUCAUGAUAUAGGUACUGUGACGUGUCAACCAUCAUGAGGUUGUGUUCACGUCAUGACAUAGGUACUGUGACGUGUCAACCAUCAUGAGGUUGUGUUCACGUCAUGACAUAGGUACUGUGACGUGUCAACCAUCAUGAGGUUGUGUUCACGUCUUGACAUAGGUACUGUGAUGUGUCAACCAUCAUGCGGUUGUGUUCACGUCAUGACAUAGGUACUGUGACGUGUCAACCAUCAUGAGGUUGUGUUCACGUCUUGACAUAGGUACUGUGAUGUGUCAACCAUCAUGCGGUUAUGUUUACGUCAUGACAUAGGUACUGUGACGUGUCAACCAUCAUGAGGUUGUGUUCACGUCUUGACAUAGGUACUGUGACCUGUCAACCAUCAUGAGGUUGUGUUCACGUUAUGACAUAGGUACUGUGACGUGUCAACCAUCAUGAGGUUGUGUUCACGUCAUGACAUAGGUACUGUGACGUGUCAACCAUCAUGAGGUUGUGUUCACGUCUUGACAUAGGUACUGUGUGCAGCCACCUUUUCAAGACCCUGGAGUUGCCUCUGCUCUGAUGAUGAUAAAUUGGGAAGAUGUUGCGUCUCAUUCAUUUCUCAGCAGUAGAUUUAUGAUAGUCAAUAUACAUUUUAGGAAAGGAUUUUCUUUGUACAAAUUGUAUUUGAACCUGAUUUUAGAAUGAUUUGUUGUAAAUCUUUUAUGAUAUGAAUCAAGGACUUUUUUUAUGAAAUGAGCUAAGUCACGGUACUUCCACCAACUGUGCAAUUGUUUGUGGACUGAAACAUACUCUACAGUUACGGGGGUUUGAUGUUAGUGUGUCAGGACUGCUCUCUAGACGGUGUAGACGUCACACAUUUCACAGCACCUGUGUCUAGCAUGUGUAUUAUUUAGCUGUGUGUGAGUCUGUGGCACUUCUGUGACUUGUACAUUUCACGCCACCCUGUACAUGUUACAUGUGUACAUCUCAUGUUGAAUGAACAAUGUAUUUGUUACAA
RNAcentral lists this unclassified non-coding RNA (4674 nucleotides) under Haliotis rufescens (red abalone). RNAcentral's name for it is "sorting nexin-2-like, transcript variant X1". The record is from RNAcentral. Lineage: Eukaryota; Metazoa; Mollusca; Gastropoda; Lepetellida; Haliotidae.